AGUGAACGCUGGCGGUAGGCCUAACACAUGCAAGUCGAACGGCAGCACAGUAAGAGCCUGCUCUUACGGGUGGCGAGUGGCGGACGGGUGAGGAAUACAUCGGAAUCUACUUUUUCGUGGGGGAUAACGUAGGGAAACUUACGCUAAUACCGCAUACGACCUACGGGUGAAAGCAGGGGAUCUUCGGACCUUGCGCGAUUGAAUGAGCCGAUGUCGGAUUAGCUAGUUGGCGGGGUAAAGGCCCACCAAGGCGACGAUCCGUAGCUGGUCUGAGAGGAUGUUCAGCCACACUGGAACUGAGACACGGUCCAGACUCCUACGGGAGGCAGCAGUGGGGAAUAUUGGACAAUGGGCGCAAGCCUGAUCCAGCCAUACCGCGUGGGUGAAGAAGGCCUUCGGGUUGUAAAGCCCUUUUGUUGGGAAAGAAAAGCAGCAGGUUAAUACCCCGCUGUUCUGACGGUACCCAAAGAAUAAGCACCGGCUAACUUCGUG
This 492-nucleotide ribosomal RNA is filed under the name uncultured bacterium. RNAcentral's name for it is "partial 16S ribosomal RNA". It matches the Rfam family "Bacterial small subunit ribosomal RNA", at positions 29 to 507 of the family's 1533-position model. The record is from RNAcentral.